This 208-nucleotide long non-coding RNA is filed under the name Lathyrus oleraceus (garden pea). RNAcentral describes it as "Pisum sativum (pea) long non-coding RNA (PSAT_LNC004280)". Lineage: Eukaryota; Viridiplantae; Streptophyta; Magnoliopsida; Fabales; Fabaceae. The record is from RNAcentral.
AAUUUUUCUCUUCCAGCAGUACAAGCACAUUUUUACAGCAUUACUUUUACAACUUCUAUAUUGUUUCCUUCGCAGUUUCUAUUUUCUUUUUCAGCACUUAGUUAAUUCUUUUUUGCACAAUAGUUUCUACACCGGAAACUAUUGUGUACCUUUCACCGGAUCUAACCUUACGUUAGAAUCUAGUUUUUAUUUUUAUUCCUUCGCUUUU